CAAACUGGAGAUGGCGACCGGCGCACGGGUGAGUAACACGUAUCCAACCUGCCGAUAACUCGGGGAUAGCCUUUCGAAAGAAAGAUUAAUACCCGAUGGCAUAAUAGAACCGCAUGGUCGAUUAUUAAAGAAUUUCGGUUAUCGAUGGGGAUGCGUUCCAUUAGGCAGUUGGUGGGGUAACGGCCCACCAAACCUUCGAUGGAUAGGGGUUCUGAGAGGAAGGUCCCCCACCAUUGGAACUGAGACACGGUCCAAACUCCUACGGGAGGCAGCAUG
RNAcentral lists this ribosomal RNA (276 nucleotides) under uncultured bacterium. Its description in RNAcentral is "partial 16S ribosomal RNA". It matches the Rfam family "Bacterial small subunit ribosomal RNA", at positions 77 to 353 of the family's 1533-position model. The record is from RNAcentral.